AAAGCAGAUGUCUUAUGUUCGUGAUGCUUAUUAGGUUAUGGCAGCUCGGAGGAAAUACAAAAAUGACCGUUUGUCCCGGUCAUAUUUCCAAACUAGCAUUUGACCAUUUUAAAAAAAAAUUAAUAUUGAAAUAGAUAUAUACUUUGUGAUUGCCACUUUUACCCCCAUCUUCAACCAAAUCUCAGAGAAAAGGGAAAGGAAGAAAGAGAAUUUCUCGCAAUCGACGAUAGCAGUCGGAUCCGAUCGAGAGUUGCCAUGUUUAUAGUCUAUCCAACGUCAACAACGACAAAACUCGACUAUAAUCUUCAACAAGGUUAGUUUUUAGGGUGAUUAAGACAAUAAUUUUUCAUUUUGCAAUGUUGUGGAAGCGAUUUCUCACCGUUUCCGCAUGAGAAACCGACUGGGCCGAAUGUUUAGCCCAGCGUUUGGGACAACUGGCCAAUUUCAUGUUUAUUUAUUUUUUCCAUAUAUAUUUGAUUGGAUACACAAAAAACUGAUGAUUGAAUAUAAAACAAAUUCCAAAAAGAAAUGUUCUUGUUAAAACAAAGAUUGUUUUGUGGGUCAGAAAUAAUGGCAACAAACAAUAUCAUUUUAUAUUUCUGAGCAAAUGGGAAAAGGAUUAAAACUUGAUUUGUAGAUAGAAGCAGACCAAAGCAACCCCUGGUCAAUCUUUGUGAAAGCGCACCUGCUACUGACCAACCUCCUAAACAUAUGCCUAACCCCGAACUUAAUGAUAAGGGAUCUAUAGGAUGGAGGUCUACCAGAUAGUGUAGGACCCGUUGACCUAGAAAUAGAAGCCAGUGUCCACAUAUCAUAAGUAUGAGGUUUAUUUCGACAUACAUUCAUUUAGGUGAGUUAGGUCAUAUCCGUCUUAGAUGUCAUCAGUACCUGAAUAAAAGGAAAAACAUGAACUUGAAAAAGAACAAAUUUCAGGUGUCAGUUAAUCAGAUUAGAUUCCUUACUAGUCAAGUGAAUCGUUUAACCAAAUUGGUGACACAACUGUUUGGGAGCUGUUUUCCCACUAGACAGGUUUGGGUGAAAAAGAGUGAUCUGUCGAAUCUUGUAAUAGAUCACGGUGCUUUUAAAGGAAAGAUCAUGUACCAAGCUGAUUAGGUAAUUUUUUUAUGCAUGCCUAUUCUUAACUGCCAGAUGAUUUUUGCAUGCAUCACAUUAUUUGUUGGAUUUUUUUUUUUUUUUGGGUUUCAUGCAUGUGCACUAUUUAGUUUUGUUUUGUGCGCUUGACCUUAUUCUUUUUUGUGGGUGAGGCGUUCAUUUUUUUAAAAUGAAAAACAUAAAAAAAAUAGAAAAAUACCAAAAAAAAUAGUUGGUUAUGGAAAAUCCCUAUAGCUUGACAUACAAUGAUUGAUCUUACAAGUUGUGAUGAUGUAUGAGCUAAAAUUGAUAAGCUUUAGCAAAAUUUCCAUUACUUGUUUAUGUCAUUUUUGAUUUCUUAGUAUAAGUGUCUUCAUGUACUAUUUGCACUGCACACAUUAUGAAUUUGUUAGUGGGACUCUAUCACAGAUUUGAGAUUUGGGAUGACUGUCACAUGUUAAUGGGGUGACUUUGAGCAUGAAUUGACCAAAUUUAGUAGACCUAACCUCAAAAAGAUUCUCCCACGUAAAAGUUCAUUAUCUUAGUAUUCUUCUUCGAGACCUAUUACCGAGGAUGUGAGAUUUGGGAUGUCGGCCACAUGUUAAUAAGGUGACUUUGAGCAUGAAUUGACGAAUUUAGUAAACCUAACCCUAAAAAGAUUCCCUAAUGUAAAAGCUCAUUAUCCUAAUAUUCUUUUUCGAGAUCUAUUUGACUUGAGCAAUUAAUUCUGCGAGGUCUCUUAAAAUCUGGUGCCUAUGGUCAACUGACUUGAGUUUACCGGUCUAAAGAUCUAUACAGAGGUCCAUUAUAGACUCAAACAAGGGUCCAAGUCUUGGAAUAUAAAAUUUGAUCAAACCAUUAAGACCAAUGAUUUUGACUAAAAUCUGGAUGAACCCUGUGUGUACAAGCGAAUACAAGGGAAGAAAGUAGUUUUUUUUUAUUCUUUAUGUGGAUGACAUUGUACUCAUUGUAAAUUAUGUAGGGACAUUGUCAUCUAUAAAGCGAUGAUUGUUACAAUAGUUUGAUAUGAAGAACUUGAGAGAAGCCAGUUAUGUUUUGAAAAUCCGUAUCUUAUGAGAUAGGAAAAACAAAAGGAUUGUAUUAUCCCAAAUUUCAUAUAUUGACAAAAUAUUGUCUAGAUUUGCAAUGCAAAAUUCAAAAAAGGGACAACUUCCUUUUAGAUAUGGAACUCAACUAUCUAAGGAGAAUUCUCCCAUGACUAUAACAGAGAUAAAUUACAUAUGGAAGAUUCCUUAUGAUUUAGCCAGGAAACCUCAUGUAUGCUAUACUUUGCACAAGAUCGGAUAUUUUUUAUGUUGUUGGUAUUGUUAGUUGUUAUUAGUCUAAUCCAAGACCAAAACAUUGGGCAUCUGUGAAGCAUAUACUCAAACACCUUUGGAGAAUGAGAGAUUAUAUGCUUGUUUAUUCAGGAUAUGAACUAAAUACUAUUGGAUACACUGAUUCCGAUUUUGAAUCUGUUCGUGACUCUAAAAAGUCUACGUUGGGCUCAGUAUUUACACUGGAAGGUGAAGCUGUGGUAUGGAGGAGUAUCAAACAAUCUUGUAUUGUUGAUUUCAACAUAGAGGCAGAAUAUGUAACAGCUUGUGAAGCUGUUAAAAAUUUUGUAUGGUUCAAGAAGUUUCUUUUGAACCUUAACAUGUUACCUUUGGCAAUGAGACCCAUAACGCUUUAUUGCGAUAAUAGUGGAGUGGUUGCCAAUGCUAAAGAACCAAAGAGUCAUCAGUAGGGUAAGCACAUCGAGAGGAAAUAUCACCUUUUUAGAGAGAUUGUUCAUCGAAGAGACGUGAGAGUUAGUAAGAUUGAAUCAGCAAAUAAUCUUGGAGAUCCAUCCACCAAGACCUUGCCAACCAAGGCUUUUGAUGGGAAUCUUGAGAGGAUGUGUAUUCUUGAUAUGUCAUACAUACUUUAAAAAAGGGCAAGAGGGAGAUUGCUAGUUUGAUGCCCUUUCUUCGAGUAGUAUUUUGUAAAAUGAUAUUAUGAAUUGACGUUCAUUUAUCUGCAUGUUAUAAUUUGAGGAAAUUAUCUAAGGUUCCAUGAUAAUAUAGGAUGUCACAAAUUGUAUACUCGAUGGUUCGAGUAUAGUAACACACAAUUCGUGAUGUGAUUAAAAUAUGUUGUUCACAAUCAAUACAAAAAUUUAGUUGAUUUAUGUUGAUAAGAUUGCAUUGUUCUUAUUAAGAUUUGUCUAGAUUUUGGAAUAAGAACAAUAAUGUGUUUCAAUGCACAUUGAAUGGGAUCGCGUAGAUGACUCAUUUGUGAGUGCUUGAAGUGAGGCUUGAUUAUUAAAUAUGUCACCUAAAUUCUGAGCAAGUAAUGUACCUAUGAUUGCAAGUUCAAGUUCUUUGAGGUACCAAAGAGUGAAGUCUUAAAUAAGAGAUUUGUCUCGGUGCUUUGGAAUUCGGGCCGAAACUAUUAGAGAUCGUGUAGUUGUGAUAGUGAAAUCUAUUAAUCAUUGAGAUGAGACAAUUGUCACUCUAAGGUAUUCUCCAUAGGCAAAUUAAACCUGAGCUAUGUAGUCCAAUGAUAAGAUCGUUGGACUUUAUAUUGUGAUUUGAUCACAACAAGUUUGUCGUAUGAAAAUAAAACUUAGAGGUUAAUAUAUGUUAAAGGGCAAAACGGUCAUUUUGUCAAUUUCAACAUAUUGACGGUCAAAUGGGGGUUGACUUGUGAAACGAUAAUCAAAGGAUAUUAUUAUUGGAUCAUAAUUUGCUUCUAUAACUAUCACUUGACUCGAGAGUGCAAUCUCAAUUUUUUAGUAGAAUGAGCCGAGAUUAAUAGGUAUAUAUCAAUUGGUCUAGAGUUGACCCAAUUAGAAACAUCAACUGGAGCUUGAGUCAUGUGAGUCCGGUUAGGUCCCUCUCUUGGUUCCAAUAAAGGUGGUGACUUAAUUGGUCUACUACAAUCAAGUCAAAGGAAAUUUGUGCAAUUUUCAAACCCUGAUUGAGUAUUAUAAAUAUGCCCUUUAUGUGCACAUUUUUAUAUGCUUUUAGGGUUAACCACUUUUUCAUUUUCCAAAAAGAGGAAGGCACUAGGAGAACAAAUGAGAAGAUCUAAGAGAGGAAGCAUUUGACUAGGUCAUUAAAAACUCUUUCAAGGUUAUCAUAUUUCCUUUUAUGUCUGAGGAUUUAAAACAUCUAAUCAUCUCAGGGUUAUCUAACAUUCUUAUUCAUAUGGGUUUAAUCUUCAAAGGACAAUUAAUUUCCAAUUGUGAUGAUUAAAUCUCAUAACUAAAAAUGAUAUAGUAAAGGAGUCAGGUUGGGAGGAGAUCCAAAAAGAAACCCACAAGAUCGAAGCUGAUCUCGAUUUCAAUCUAUCUUCUUAUGCUAAGCUCAGUGCUCGUUUCACCCAAGGAGGUACGAUGCUUUCUUGUGGAUAUUGGAUUGCAGUUUUUUAUUUUUGGUUUCUGUUGCAUAUGAAUUUUGCAUUUUUUCCUUUUUUAUUUUUAUUUUUAAAUGAAAUUGAAGUGAAAUUUUGGAGCUAAUUGUUUCAUUAUACAUUGAAUUUUACCAAUAUUCACAUUUUACUUAUUAUACUUUGAAUUUCUUUCAAAAUGAUCACUGAACUUGCACAAGAUGCACUUCAUCCAUCACCCACGAAGUUAUGGUUACAUUACAUGAGAAGAUUAAGUGGCUAAACGAUAUCUAAUGUGGCAGGUUGACAAAGUUAAGCUUGCCAAAUAAACAAAACUUGGCUGCUUCCAUUACACAUUAAACUUUUUCCGUUGUUUACAUUUUAUUCUUUGAAUUGCUUUUAAAUGGUCAUUGAACUUGCACGAAUUGCACUCCAUCCAUACCAAACUUGCCAAAUAAUCCUAUAUCAUAUGCUAAAUUCCUACGACCUGCAAAUUGCUUGAUUAUAAGGCAUAACAUGCAAUUGAUAUUUAGAUUUCAUCGUCGAUCGGAGAAUUUAUUAACUAAUUUAGCAAUAAAUUCAGUAGCUAAAUUAAUCUUGGUGGAAAUUACAAGAAUCUCGACUUUUAAAGAUUUCAGUGCAAAUAUCAGGUGGGGAUAGUUUUUUAUGCACAUUUCAGGUACUUUAAUCACAAUCCAAUUUGAAACCCUAAAAUUCAAAUUCAAUUUCUCAAUCUUCUCUCUACAACUCUUUCUCUCUCUUAUCUUCUUUUCCUUCUCUCUCUGAAUGUCGACGAUUGUUCAAACUUCGAUGAUCAACAAUGAAAGAGCUGCUCCCAUGUCCCAUUCUCUUCUCUCUCUUCUCCAUGCUUUGUCAUCGUUCCCAUCUAUCUAUAUUCUCUCUUUGCUUUAACCUAGGAUCUAUUUUCUUCGUUAAUAAUUAGGGUUUCCCUUUCUACCACUUCGUAUGUAUUCAAUUUCAAUGAGCAGGCGAAAACUAUGAGUUUUGUAUUUGAUUUGUUAGUAGAUCUUACAGUGGCUGUGGUGGUGGUUGAAAAUGAUGGUGAUGCGGAUGGCGGUUCAUUUUUUGGUGAUGCGAUCUGGUGGUUGAUUUUUUUGGUUUUUGCUUCGAUAGUUGUGCAAUGGUCGUCGGUGGUGGGUUUGUGGCACCAUUGUGUGGGUGUGAUGUGAAUUAUGUGUUUGACUAUUUGUGGAAGCCGAUUGUGUUGGUGCGACGUGGGUGGUGGUGUUAUUACAGUUUGUAGUGCUUGCUAGCGGUGAUGGUGCGUUGUGGAUGUGGUGUGGUUUGCGAUGGCAGUGGUGCAAGUUGGUGGUUUGGGUUGAUUGUCUUAUUUUUUUAAUUUUUGGUUGGCGAUGGACUAUGACAUUAAAAUUUGAUGACCUGUGACUAAAAAAUAAUUUGUGACCUCAAUGACUUAGUCUGUGAGCCAUAAAAUUUUUGACUUGUGACCUCAAAAUAAUUUUUCUCCUACAAAAUUUUUGAUUUGUGACCUUGAAAUAAUUUGUAAUCAAUUAAUUUGAUGAUUUGUGACCUAUAAUUAUGAAUCUGGGACCAUUAAGUGUUUAGUUGUGACUUUAUUUUAUAUAUAUGUUUAAUUAAUUAAAUACAUACUUGAAUUUUGAAUUUUUAAACUAUUUACUUGAUUUUUGAAAUGGUGUAAAGAAUACACCUGAGAUAUAAUUUUUCCCUUAAUCUCAAUAAGCAUUGAAGAUGGGGCUUUUGAAGUCAAAUCAAUCCAAAAUCAACAUGAAUAUUUUGAGGACCCAAGUGAUCAGCUAUGUAGGACAUAUUGGGAAAAGAAGCACUAGUAGAAAUAAAACAUUAUCUUAAUUCCGAAUUGGGUCCGUAAAACCAUUUUAGAAGGAGAACACCGUGACGUACGUCGAAUUUCGGCCAUUCGAGUCGUUUAGACAUUGAAAACUGAUUUUUAAUAUUUUGACACUAUUUUUGUCAAUUCGUUUAUUUUGGGUUUUAUACAAUUCUAGUUUGUUUAAACUUCUUUUUCAUUAUUUUUAGUUGUUCUAAACUUCGUUUCCAUGUAAACUCUUAUAAAUAAGGGCUUAGUUCGUUUUUUCAUUAUCUUUGAUUAAUAAAAUUCGUGAGUUUAUUUUUUUCAUUAUUUGGUGGAUUCCAAAUUUAUUGUUUUUAAGGUUUUCGCUUGAAUUCUUUGUUUCACGCGGCAUCAUCAGCAGAGCACUAAAAUCUGAAUUUAAUUUCCGAAAUAUACCCAAAGAUGACUUAUUGACAAUCUCAAGUUAUGUUCUAGAGCCUAAACUCUAUUUCACCAAAAAAAUCACAGUGUUCAUAAUAUGGUUUACUCAAGGCAAAAAGAAAAUCAAUAACUAAAACUUAAAUCCUUUUAGUUCAUUGUUGAUUCAAAAUUGUGAAAAUCAAUCCUUUCAUUGCAAAUCUGCAUCUAUAUAGAUGAUAUUUUGCCAGCUAUGCAUGUCAUAUAGAAGUAAUGCCAUCAAGAGAUAUUCUGCCAACUCAUAAAACAACACAGAUUUUGUCACAAAAAUCUCCCAAAAAAUCUUGAUUUAGCUUAGUUUCAUCAACCAAACGAACACCAACCGAGCUUUACUUGACCCACAACUCCCACUUGGUUGCCACAAGUCUUCACCCUACAAAGGAGACACUUGGUUAUUGGUUUCCAAGCCACAAAGGAAGAGGAAAUAGAAUAGCAAUUAGAACCUCAAGGAAGAAGAACCAAAUCGACCAAAAAACUCACGUGUUUCCUCUCUUUCUCACAAGACCAACAAAUAAGAAAAUGGCUAGGGAAUAAGUGUAUAUAUAAUGGGUUACUUUAGGUUAAUUAAUGGGCCAAAGCGUAACCAUGCCAACAAUCCAAAUAACCAAUAUAUCAUCCCAAUGCAAAGCCACAGUUUGGGCCAUCCAAAAGUAUUGGGCCACGAGCAACAUUAACUCAAUUAAGUUGCUUCAAAUGGCAUCGAGUUGUUUCCAGGUCGAGCUAUCACUAGGGUGUCGAUAUAACUUAUCUAACAUCGGUUUAAUAUCAUUGCCCGAAUUUAUUGGAUAUCAAAAAACCUAAUAAAUUUAAUUAUAAUGUCGAAACACAUAUGUAAUUUAAAUAUCAAUUGCGUGUUUAUAAUUAUAAUUAAGCAAUCUGCAGGCUGUAAGAAUUUAGUAUCUGAUAUAGGAUUAUUGGCAAGUUUAGUGAUGAAUGGAGUGCAACUAGGGCAAGUUCAGUGACCAUUUGAAAGCAAUUCAAAGUGAAAUGAGUAAAAUAUGAUGAUGGAAAAAGUUUAAUGUGUAAUGGAAGCAGAAAAGUGUGCUUGUUUGGCAAGUUUAAUUCCUUCAAAGUUUCAAAUCAGAUGCUAUCUGGCCACUUAAGCUUCGUAGGCAAUGGUAACUUUGUGGGUGAUGAAUGAAGUUCAACCUGUGGAAGUUUAGUGACCAUUCCUAAGCAAUUCAAAGUACAGUGAGUAAAACGUAACAAUGAACAAAGUUCAAUGAUUAAUGAAACGAUUAACUCGAAUUUUGUCAUAAUGAGGUUAUUUCGUGCAUAUUAGUGGACGUGUUUUUUGAGGCUUUUUGUUUGCUGAUUUCUUCAUACAAAUUAUUCAUGGAGAUUCAUGAAAUUAUGCAAGUUUACUUUGAUUUUCAUGUUGGAAAUUUGUAACUGCUUUAAGUUGUCUUGGUGUACUUAGGAUGUCUCUUUAUCUUUAGCUCUUAGAGAAACUAUGUUGAAGGCUUAGACCUAGUGCUGAAUGCUGAGUCUUGAAUAAGAAGUGUAAAUGGUAAGUUAAUUUAAUCUUUGCAAAGGAUUGUUAAGCAGACAAGUAAUGUGAAUUCAAUAAAUUUAGGAUUGAGAAUAUGCUAAGAUCCAAGGUCAAGAGGGAAACAGCCCAAAGUGACCUUAUACUAUAAUCUAUAUGCUAUCGAUCAAUGGAUUGAUACGAUUUAAAAUUUAACACUAAAAUAUUCAGGUUGUUUGAUUACAUAUUUGGUGCAUUUGAUCUUACGAUAGUUUCGAUUGGAAUAUCAUUCAUUUUAGCAGCAUUAUACAGCUCCUUAGAAAUCUAGUUUGGUCCUACUUGGAAUUUAUUCUUUUGGAAGAAAAUUAGGCUGUUUAAUGUGUUUGUGUGUCUUUGUACAGUCACACUUCUUUUUGUGUGUGAGAUUGAUAAGUGUGGGUUUUAGUACUAUUCUGGGACAUUAAGCUUAGAUAUUUGUGAGUUUCAUUUGUGAUUUAUUACUUAAUUUAGGUUUUCUUCUUUUUUUUUUUUUUUUUUUUUUUUUUUUUUUUUUUUUUUUUUUUUUUUUUUUUGUAGGUGAAAACUUGACUUUGAACGAUAAUUAGAAGGUAUUUAAUUGUUCCGAUGCCUAGGCGCCACCUGAGCCAUUUUUAAUUGUUUUCAAAAUCUCAGGAACCAAUGCUACAAUUUCCUUUAGGUUUUAGUUUAAAACAUUCAACCAAACACAAGACUUGGCUAUUCUUGGAAUUUUAGGUCUCUCGUUUUUCUUUCUUUUUCCUUUUCCUUUCACCUAUAUUUUUUUUUUGGACAUUUGGGGAAGAUUGGAACUUGGAGAUGGUGCAUUAUCUUGGAGUAGAUAACCCAUUCCAUCAAUGUUUUGUAAAAAAUUGUUUGUUAUUUGUGAAUAUUUCAUGGAUAACUAAUUAUAUUUGUGAUUGGGGAUUAUUCAAACCCGGGUUAUGAUUUUCAACUUAUUAGUGAUUAAUAUUUCUCUUGAUUAAUAUGUUUAUUCCAUUGUGUUAAAUAUUUAUUUUGUUCUUUUUGAUUGUUUAGGUGUACAACUAAAUGAUUAAGUUGUUUCAAUGAAUGCUAUUUUGGGAUUAGUAGUACGUAAUAGUUAUUGAUUCUAAAACCUAGUAACAAUUACUUUUCAAUAGAUUAUGAAGAAUUUUCAAUUGAAUGUAUGUGGAUUAACACUUAAGUUGGUAAACCGAGCUUGCGAGUUUACCCUUAAUUCAAUUCAUCUUUUUUGUCAUAAUGCGUUUCUUAAAUUAAAUCGAGAGAGCUGUUCUAGGUUGUUUAAUAAAUAGGGUUGAGUAAAGAGCUUGUUUUAUUUGACUAACAUGUAAGAAGAGAUUGAGGUAAUUGAGCUUGUAAUUAUUCUCGAAUUGUUGUUAAUCUUGAGAAUGAAAAUAUAUAGUGGUAAUUGACAUGAAAAUCAUUCUCGUGGUGAUGAAAUAUCUCCCAAUCAUAUUUUUUCACAUUCAAUCAAGAUCCAAUUUGUUUAUUUCAAAUUUCAAGUCUUUUCUAAUUUAAAUUUAUCACUUUCCUUAGUUCAACAAACCAAACCCCCCCACCCCAAAUUUAAUCCAUUUCGUAUAUUAUUAUUAAUUUUACUUUUUAAUAUGUAAUUGACAUAAUUGAAUCAAUCCUCUGCGAGAAAUGACCCUUACUUGUCAUAAUACUAUUUAAGACGACACAUUUAAGUUAAGUAAGGAAAAUUAAUUGCAACGUAUCAGAGAUCAUUCCAAGACAUGACAUAAGCGAUAAAGUAAGACUGUACUCAAAUGUUUCAGGCUGUUUAUUAUAACAAUCUCAACUAAACUGUCCGUAGGGUGUUCUUUUUAUUUGCACCUGUCCAAUUGAAAUUAGGUCGUACAGUUCACAUAACUAUUAGCAGUAAAUUAGCCCAAAGAUCUGCCAAAUAAUAUUUUCGUAUCACUGACAUGAGGGUUAUGCUUGUAUAUAAUGGUCAUAUAUCACCCAACUCUACUUUAAUAAGCGAACUUGUACUAAUGCAAUGGAAAACGGCUAGAGAUGCAACUGAAAGACGAAGUUCCCUGAUGUCAUCUAAAAGAGCAAGCCCUCCAUGGGGCAGAGAAAAGAUUUGUUGUAAAUCAACUUCAAUACCUUUUCGUCUAUUGAUUGUGUAUCUGUUUUAUUUUUUUGUAAGUUUUUACAUAUUUAUUUAAAAUACGACAUUUCGAAUCAUGAGCGUUAAGGUACUUAUUUUUGCCUCUUAAGGAGCUUUUCUACGACAGAUAGAGCAACGCAUUUUCAGUUUUUCUGGGACAAAUAGAACAACACAUUUUCCGACUGCUUUUCCAAACAAGAAAUCCUCUAUUUAUAUCACGAGAUAAUUUAUUUCCAGUUCUUGCGCUUUUUAUGGUUUCUUAGGUUUUUAGGUUACGUGGAUGCUGGUUCAUCAACUUCUGGCUCCAGUAGGUCAUGGAAGUCCAUGGAAAUGGAGAUUCAAUCAUUGCUUCAGAAGCUACUGGAUACAAACGAUUCUAUGAGUCAAUAUGCAGCAUCUUUGGCCCCUACUACUACUACAGUUAAUAGCUUGCAAGAGACAGGGACAUGUUGCAGGAGAUUACCCAGGUUGAAUGCAAUCCUAUGUAAUUGUUUCAGCUGGUAGAAAUUUAUAAUAUGCAAUUCUUUCAUCUAGGACAAAGGAAAGGAUAAAUACAAGGGAAAAAUGAUGUUUGGUUAUAAAAAAGAUCAUUUCUUUACUACAGAAACAGAAAGGAAGCGGUCAUAUUGUGUAACAGAUACUCAGGCAGAAUUAUUAAGUAUAAGAAGUAAAAGAUUAUUGAUGGCUGUAAGCUACCAAGGUUACCGGUUUAAGAAUUUAUCCUUUGCAACUAUGCAAGCAUGUUUGUAUUUCUUCAUAAUAUUUGACCAUAUGUAGGGAAUGUAGCCCAAGAAGUCCAUGCACCAGGUAAAGAGUACUGUAUGUUGAAGUGAAUUUUGAGGAUCUAGCUAAAUGUAAUCAAGCCACUCUCAUUAAGGGAUUGUAUAGUUUGUCGGAUAUUUUAAUCCAAAACAAUGUCCCAAAUUCAUAGAUAAAAAAUCCGGGAACCUCUUUACCUCAUACAUUUGUGAUAAAUUUAAUGAUGCUCAUUUCUAGAAGAAUCUAGAAUUACUUGCCUACAAUAUCCUAGAAUUCCUUGGUAAGCAAGUAUAAUAAAAAAUUAGAAUUGUCUAGAUUCCACUAGAGUAACUUGGACAUCAAAAAAUCUUGUAUAGGUUGUAGACACUUGUAGAAUUCUCUAGAAGAUAUGAUAAGAGUCUAUAAAUAGGGCAUGAUCCCUCAUUUGUUUGCAAGAAAAAAAGAAGCUAGACAAAGCUCAAGCUAUUGUAAGCCAUCAUCAUUCUAAUAAAAUUCCUUUCUCCUACCCACUUUGUCCACCAAAUUACUUUCUACCAAAAUCUUUCAAACUAUUAACUUUCAAUAAAAAGCCAACUAUUUUUUACCUCCAAAAUUAUUCCAUACAAAACAUCCUCAAUCAUCCUAUCUCAUCACUACAACAACACAAAAAUUAUCAGUGGUAUCAGAGCCACGUUCGAUUGAUAUUGGGCAUACGCAUAUAUGAUGGCAGACGCUUUCCGCUCAUCAAUUCCUAUCCCAACAUUUAAUGGGGAUAACUAUGAUUUUUGGUCUAUCAAAAUGAAGACCUACUUUUGUGCUCAAAAUUUAUGGGAUGUCGUCAACGAUGGGUAUACUAACCCAGAUGACAUUUCCACUUUAACUUCCGCACAAAAGAAGGAACUUAAGGAGAAUCAACAAAAAGAUUCUCUAGCAUUACUUUCUCUACAAAUGAGCUUGACGGAUACAUAUUUUCCAAGAAUUAUGGGAGCCAAAACAGUGAAAGAAGCAUGGGAUAAGUUGAAGGAUGAGUUCUACAGCAGUAACAAGGUACGUACUUGCCGCCUUCAAAUUUUAAGAAGGAAUUUUGAAAAUCUAAAAAUGAAAGAGUUGGAAACUACAAAAGAUUAUUAUUCAAGAAUAGAUGAAAUAGUAAAUCAACUAAGGUCUUAUGGUGAUGAUGUUCCCGAAAAGAAGGUUGUUGGAAAAAUUUUAAUUACUUGCACAGAAAAAUAUGAUCCAAUUAUUGCAGCUAUUGAGGAAUCCAAGGAUAUAGAUGAAUUAACAGCUGCAGAAUUAAUGGGAUCAUUAGAAGCUCAUGAAAAAAGAUUAGAAAGGCGCUAUGAAAUGGAGAUAGAAAACGCUUUUCAAUCGAAACUUAAUAUGCGGUUUCAAAAAUCUAAAGAAGGUGGAAGAAAAUUUAAAGAGAAUUUGAAAAAUAAAGAAAU
This 12518-nucleotide long non-coding RNA is filed under the name Olea europaea subsp. europaea. Lineage: Eukaryota; Viridiplantae; Streptophyta; Magnoliopsida; Lamiales; Oleaceae. The record is from RNAcentral.